Ribosomal RNA from Lepisosteus oculatus (spotted gar), 118 nucleotides. The record is from Ensembl. NCBI's taxonomy places the organism in Eukaryota, Metazoa, Chordata, Actinopteri, Semionotiformes, Lepisosteidae.
GCCAGCAGCCAUAUCACCCUGGAACUCACAACUGGCAACCCACUGAAGCUAAGCAGGUGUGAGCCUGGUCAGUACCUGGAUGGAGACCUCCUGGGAAAAACUAUUGUUGCUGCUGGAA